GUAAAUUAAGAAAAAAUCAAAGUACAAAUGUUUAAUGAAUUAAAUCUUCUGAAUCGAAUAACAAAAAUCUAAUAUACUUGCUAUGAAACUCUCGGUUGUGCCAAGCGUUUUACACUCACCAGUAACAGCUUUUUCUCUUCUUUGAUCUAUUCCCUUUUCAUUGUGGGAAGUGUGUAAAGACAACUUGCCGUCAGCUACAGCAUCUAUAACUGCUUUGAGGAUACAGUAAACUACGAUGACUAUUUAACAAAAUCUUUUUUUAAAAUAAAGCCAUACUGAAGGAUAAUCGGUAUAACAAUGCUUAACAUUAUUUACCAAUUCAGUGGAAUUACAGAACAAAGAGAUGCACUUUUUGUUCAAUUGAGUUAUGUCAACCACAAGCACAUACAUUGGGAACGACGGCAUCGUAAUGGAUAAGAUUAAGGACAUUAAACUUAAGUAAUGUGUAAUGUAGUGAGAUAUCGAUGACAGUUAAUGUUAACGACAGCAUAGCGAUUAGUCCUAAUGCGUUGCUCUUACUUUCCUUAUUUUUUAUUUUUCAGUAAUUAAUAAAUUAUCUUGAGGCUUCCGUUCCUUUUGAGCAGAAUAAAUCAAUGAAUAAAAAGUUUUAUAGAGAAGUUAAGACAAUUAUUUUUUAAUAAUAAGUAUUGCUAAACUGAUAGAUAUGGGCUGCACAUUAACAGUAAACUUUCCAAUUCUACUAGAAAGCUAACAAGCCACCAUUCAGCCAAAG
Schizosaccharomyces pombe (fission yeast) is the source of this 733-nucleotide non-coding RNA. The record is from the annotation of a GenBank genome assembly. NCBI's taxonomy places the organism in Eukaryota, Fungi, Ascomycota, Schizosaccharomycetes, Schizosaccharomycetales, Schizosaccharomycetaceae.